RNAcentral lists this ribosomal RNA (549 nucleotides) under uncultured Glomus. Its description in RNAcentral is "SSU rRNA". It matches the Rfam family "Eukaryotic small subunit ribosomal RNA", at positions 548 to 1098 of the family's 1831-position model. Lineage: Eukaryota; Fungi; Glomeromycota; Glomeromycetes; Glomerales; Glomeraceae. The record is from RNAcentral.
UUGGAGGGCAAGUCUGGUGCCAGCAGCCGCGGUAAUUCCAGCUCCAAUAGCGUAUAUUAAAGUUGUUGCAGUUAAAAAGCUCGUAGUUGAAUUUCGGGAUCAAUGGAUUGGUCAUGCCGUUGGUAUGUACUGAUUUUAUUGAUUCUCACCUUCUAAAGAAUCAUAAUGCCAUUAAUUUGGUGUUGUGAGGAAUUAGGACUGUUACCUUGAAAAAAUUAGAGUGUUUAAAGCAGGCUUACGCUUGAAUACAUUAGCAUGGAAUAACGAAAUAGGACAUCGCAUUCUAUUUUGCUGGUUUCUAGGAUCGAUGUAAUGAUUAAUAGGGAUAGUUGGGGGCAUUAGUAUUCAAUUGUCAGAGGUGAAAUUCUUGGAUUUAUUGAAGACUAACUACUGCGAAAGCAUUUGCCAAGGAUGUUUUCAUUAAUCAAGAACGAAAGUUAGGGGAUCGAAGACGAUCAGAUACCGUCGUAGUCUUAACCAUAAACUAUGCCGACUAGGGAUCGGAUGAUGUUAAUUUUUUAAUGACUCAUUCGGCACCUUACGGGAAAC